CAUGUAGGCGGAUAUGCAAGCUUGGUGUGAAAGGCAGGGGCUUAACUCCUGGACUGCGUUGAGAACUGCAUAACUAGAGUAACUGAGGGGCAACCGGAAUUCCAGGUGUAGGGGUGAAAUCUGUAGAUAUCUGGAAGAACACCAAUGGCGAAGGCAGGUUACCAGCAGAUUACUGACGCUGAGGUGCGAAGGUGCGGGGGAGCAAACA
Molecule: ribosomal RNA, 208 nt
Filed under: uncultured Treponema sp.
Lineage: Bacteria; Pseudomonadati; Spirochaetota; Spirochaetia; Treponematales; Treponemataceae
Description: partial 16S ribosomal RNA
Rfam family: Bacterial small subunit ribosomal RNA
Source: RNAcentral